Triticum aestivum (bread wheat) is the source of this 115-nucleotide non-coding RNA. The record is from Rfam. NCBI's taxonomy places the organism in Eukaryota, Viridiplantae, Streptophyta, Magnoliopsida, Poales, Poaceae.
CAGCUACUCCCUCCGUUCCGAAUUACUCAUCGCAGAAAUGGAUGUAUCUAGAUGUAUUUUAGUUCUAGAUACAUCCAUUUCUACAACGAGUAAUUCGGAACGGAGGGAGUAAUAA